RNAcentral lists this ribosomal RNA (253 nucleotides) under uncultured bacterium. RNAcentral's name for it is "partial 16S ribosomal RNA". It matches the Rfam family "Bacterial small subunit ribosomal RNA", at positions 524 to 776 of the family's 1533-position model. The record is from RNAcentral.
UACAGAGGGUGCAAGCGUUUAAUCGGAAUUACUGGGCGUAAAGCGUGCGUAGACGGUUAUGUAAGUCAGGUGUGAAAGCCCCGGGCUCAACCUGGGAAUUGCAUUUGAGACUGCAUAGCUAGGGUGCGGAAGAGGGAAGCGGAAUUUCCGGUGUAGCGGUGAAAUGCGUAGAUAUCGGAAGGAACACCAGUGGCGAAAGCGGCUUCCUGGUCCAGCACCGACGUCAGGCACGAAAGCGUGGGGAGCAAACAGG